UGGGGAAUAUUGCACAAUGGGCGCAAGCCUGAUGCAGCCAUGCCGCGUGUAUGAAGAAGGCCUUCGGGUUGUAAAGUACUUUCAGCGAUGAGGAAGGCGUUGUGGUUAAUAACCGCAACGAUUGACGUUACUCGCAGAAGAAGCACCGGCUAACUCCGUGCCAGCAGCCGCGGUAAUACGGAGGGUGCAAGCGUUAAUCGGAAUUACUGGGCGUAAAGCGCACGCAGGCGGUCUGUCAAGUCGGAUGUGAAAUCCCCGGGCUCAACCUGGGAACUGCAUCCGAAACUGGCAGGCUAGAGUCUUGUAGAGGGGGGUAGAAUUCCAGGUGUAGCGGUGAAAUGCGUAGAGAUCUGGAGGAAUACCGGUGGCGAAGGCGGCCCCCUGGACAAAGACUGACGCUCAGGUGCGAAAGCGUGGGGAGCAAACA
RNAcentral lists this ribosomal RNA (427 nucleotides) under uncultured bacterium. Its description in RNAcentral is "partial 16S ribosomal RNA". It matches the Rfam family "Bacterial small subunit ribosomal RNA", at positions 355 to 774 of the family's 1533-position model. The record is from RNAcentral.